GAUGAAGAACGUAGCGAAAUGCGAUAAGUAAUGCGAAUUGCAGAAUUCAGUGAGUCAUCGAAUCUUUGAACACACAUUGCGCCCUGUGGUAUUCCGCAGGGCAUGCCUGUUCGAGCGUCAUUUCAACCCUCAAGCCCCGCUUGGUGUUGGGCCCCGCCCGCUGUGGCCGGCCCUAAAGACAGUGGCGGCGCCGCCUGGCCCUCAGCGUAGUACAUCUCUCGCUCCAGGGUCCGGUGGCCGCCUGCCAGAACCCCCCAACUCUGUGGUUGACCUCGGAUCAGGUAGGGAUACCCGCUGAACUUAAGCAUAUCAAUAAGCGGAGGA
RNAcentral lists this unclassified non-coding RNA (324 nucleotides) under soil metagenome. RNAcentral describes it as "partial contains 5.8S ribosomal RNA, internal transcribed spacer 2, and large subunit ribosomal RNA". The stretch from base 1 to 120 matches the Rfam family "5.8S ribosomal RNA", at positions 35 to 154 of the family's 154-position model. The record is from RNAcentral.